This 460-nucleotide ribosomal RNA is filed under the name uncultured bacterium. RNAcentral describes it as "partial 16S ribosomal RNA". It matches the Rfam family "Bacterial small subunit ribosomal RNA", at positions 338 to 795 of the family's 1533-position model. The record is from RNAcentral.
CCUACGGGAGGCAGCAGUGAGGAAUAUUGGUCAAUGGACGAGAGUCUGAACCAGCCAAGUAGCGUGAAGGAUGACUGCCCUAUGGGUUGUAAACUUCUUUUAUAUGGGAAUAAAAUGUUCCACGUGUGGGCUUUUGUAUGUACCAUAUGAAUAAGGAUCGGCUAACUCCGUGCCAGCAGCCGCGGUAAUACGGAGGAUCCGAGCGUUAUCCGGAUUUAUUGGGUUUAAAGGGAGCGUAGGUGGAUUGUUAAGUCAGUUGUGAAAGUUUGCGGCUCAACCGUAAAAUUGCAGUUGAAACUGGCAGUCUUGAGUACAGUAGAGGUGGGCGGAAUUCGUGGUGUAGCGGUGAAAUGCUUAGAUAUCACGAAGAACUCCGAGUGCGAAGGCAGCUCACUGGACUGCAACUGACACUGAGGCUCGAAAGUGUGGGUAUCAAACAGGAUUAGAUACCCUAGUAGUC